RNAcentral lists this long non-coding RNA (256 nucleotides) under Meriones unguiculatus (Mongolian gerbil). RNAcentral's name for it is "lncRNA (ENSMUGG00000012200.1)". The record is from RNAcentral. Lineage: Eukaryota; Metazoa; Chordata; Mammalia; Rodentia; Muridae.
CGUCACUCGGACCCACAUAAGCUCGCAUGGUGGGAUGUUUGGAGUGGGGACUUACUCUUUUGAUAAUCCGCUGGCGCCGUCUCAAAACAUUAGCCCGAACUCAGACUCCAAGACUUGGAGUCAAAGUGCGACAGAGUUCCACAGAAAGGCCUUUUUGAAACAGAGUCGCUCAGAUGGGAGUGGUGAAACGCCUUCCGCACCAGGACUGUGAGGAUAGCUGGGAACGCAGAGAGCGGCUUGAGAGACAGCGAGCGAG